This 86-nucleotide ribosomal RNA is filed under the name Caerostris darwini. Lineage: Eukaryota; Metazoa; Arthropoda; Arachnida; Araneae; Araneidae. The record is from RNAcentral.
CGGUUCUUGUUAGAUCCCCGAAGUCAAGCAUCAUUGGGCGCGGUCAGUACUUGGGAGGUGACCACCUGGGAACACCGCGUGCCGUU